CAAGGCUUGACAUAUACGAGAACGGGCCAGAAAUGGUCAACUCUUUGGACACUCGUAAACAGGUGGUGCAUGGUUGUCGUCAGCUCGUGUCGUGAGAUGUUGGGUUAAGUCCCGCAACGAGCGCAACCCUCGUUCUAUGUUGCCAGCACGUAAUGGUGGGAACUCAUGGGGAUACUGCCGGGGUCAACUCGGAGGAAGGUGGGGAUGACGUCAAAUCAUCAUGCCCCUUAUGUCUUGGGCUUCACGCAUGCUACAAUGGCCGGUACGAUGGGCUGCAAUACCGUGAGGUGGAGCGAAUCCCAAAAAGCCGGUCCCAGUUCGGAUUGAGGUCUGCAACUCGACCUCAUGGAGUCGGAGUCGCUAGUAAUCGCAGAUCAGCAACGCUGCGGUGAAUACGUUCCC
RNAcentral lists this ribosomal RNA (402 nucleotides) under uncultured bacterium. RNAcentral's name for it is "bacterial SSU rRNA". It matches the Rfam family "Bacterial small subunit ribosomal RNA", at positions 975 to 1375 of the family's 1533-position model. The record is from RNAcentral.